ACACACACACACACACACACAUGUGUAUGUUAAUUUUUAUAUAUUUAAAUACAUUUGUAGAAUAUUAGUGUAAUAUUAAUCAUAUACAAUAAAAUGCAAAGCAUGAAUUUUUAUAUCAUAUUAUUAAUUGCAAUAAAUUUAUUUAUCUAACCUUAUAUCAAUAUAUGUGUAAAAGUAUCUAUUUUUAUAUCAUGUAAUCUUUGGUAUGAUUUUUUUUUUAAAUAACAUUAAUUUUAAAGAAAAAUUUAUUGAGCUAAUUCAACUAAAUUUCUUAUUAAUCGAAAUAUAGUUUAUUAAUUUGAUAUUAAAUUUGACAUUAAUAAUAUCAAAUCAACAAUUAAUGAUGUGUGAAAGUUGUUAAAAUAUCCUUUAAAAGUUUCAAAAUUUUAUAUUUAUAACUUUUCCGAACUUUUUAGUGCACUCCUAAAAAAUUUUUUACAUUAAGAGAAAAGUAAACUGUUAGUUAAUACAAAAUAAUAAAAAUUUAUACAAUUAGACAUCAAAAUGAAAUAUAAUUUAUUAAAUCCAACACAAAAAAUAAUAUAAAAAAAUAAAAAUAAAAGAAACUAUCUUCAUUUAGGAGUUAGGCUCAUUAAACUAAAUAUUAAUUAAGUGAAUUUUUUGGCAUAAAAGUCAAAAGCUAUAAUUUAAUUUAUUAAGCACUACACAAGUGCAAAAAUUUUGAAAUUAGGGGGCAUGGCCACCCCCAGCCUUUUCCUCCCUCUCACUGACUUGAUUUUAACUACUGAUAUUAUGGGUUCUGAGAACAUCUCUUUGCAUUUUGUGAUUAUUGGCUUUUCUUUUUCCUUGCAUUUUCCUGUUAUACUAUGGUUAUUGGAAACUUCUUCUUUGAUGGUCUCAUACGCUUAUGAUUGUCAUUGGGUUGUCAACUUGCUAUUGUAGGGAAAAAAGCUAGCGGUUUGCUCUGCUGCAACUAAAAGUUCAGUCAUACUCUGUCUUGAGAACCUUAUAGGACUUGAGCGGUUUCAAGGUCUUGACUGCUUCCUUGCAGGUGAUGAUGUUAAGGAAAAGAAGCCUGAUCCAUCGAUUUAUCUGACAGCUGUUAAGAGGCUAGGUGUGUCUAAGAGAGAUUGUUUAGUGGUGGAGGAUAGUGUCAUUGGUCUACAGGUAGAUAUCAUGUUUCUUGACAGUCAGAGAACUAUAUUUUUUAUUUUUAUCUUCGAAGAAAUCAUAUUCUGUUCCUCAAUGGUCAAAAUUCUAGUAACAGUCACUCAUUCUAAAGAUAGACAUGUUUCAUUUUAAGUCCAUUCCACAUUUAGAGAUUAAAGAUUUGUUCAAAGAAGUGAAUAAUGAAUUAUCAAGUUCUUAAAAGAGAAGGAAGAAAAACCAAACAUUCUUGUAUGCAGGCAGCAAAAAGUGCUGGGAUGUCAUGCGUGAUUACUUAUACAUCUUCAACAGCUGACCAAGUCAGUACUUUCAAUCUUUAGCUAUCCUAAACAAGACAUUUUCUGCACAUUAUAGAACCUGAUAGCCAGAUAUAUUAAUUCAUCUAAUGUUAACUUCUAAUCAAUUCAGGAUUUUAAAGAUGCCAUUGCAAUUUACCCUGAUCUAAGUAAUGUGAGAUUAAAAGACUUAGAGUUAUUGCUUCAAAGUGUUGUCGCUGCCAGCUAGGAAAUUCAGCAUAUUGCUUGGAAUUAAUAUCUUCAUUUUUGCAGCUUUAUAAAAUUGUCCUUUGCCAUAAAACAUUCAUUUGAAGGUAUCAUAUUCAAAAUUUUCUUUCAAAGAAUUCUUCUUUGUUUAUCCCUGAGAAAAAUUAAAUUAUAAUCAAGAAAACAUUCAUGAAUCCUGUAUUUUUUUGGUUUUUAUCUGUAAGAUGUUAUUCUUAUAGGGCUCAUACUUUCUUACUCUCUCUGUUUGUAUAGUUUACAUCCAUAAUCACAAGUUGUAUGUUCUAGUGCCAGAAGCUUGAGUUCUAUACCUGAUCUUCACUUGCAACAGUUAUAACAUAACAAAGAGGUAGGAUAUUUCAUUUGUUUUGGAAAUUUGAUUAAUGUUUAGCACACCCAUAACCGUGUAUUAAUGUUUAUGUAACUUAAUCAUUUAUGAAAUAAAUUUUUUUUUUUUCCUUAAGUGACAAUUGUCAUAGCACUUGACAUAUACUACCUAACAUAUAGGUUUGUGCCAGCGUAGUGUUAAAAUAACCGCUGGAUUUGUCCAGACUUCUAGGAUUGUUGUACCUUUCCACUACAAGAAGACGCCACUAGCUAGGGAUAAACUGAGUUUUAUGCGCAUAAUUAUUUAGUCAAGCCUAGUGCAUGAUGAGCUGAGCACAUCCCAUACGUGGCCUUGACUGAAUUUAGGAAAUCCAAUUCAAUUUGAAGAUCUCUUUCAAUAGCUUAGUGUGACAAAAGAACAACAAAGUGGCGAGCAAGUGAAGAUAGAAGAAAUAAGUAAAUUCUAAUCAUUCACUGUGUUUAUAAAUUAUUGAUCAACAACGGUAAAGGGAGGAGCUAUGGCUCCACCAGUAAAGCCAAUUGACUGCAAUGAAAUACCAAUAGAUUAUUGAUAAAUAAUUUUUUUUAUAAGCAUGUAAUGAAUGAUAUAAUUAAAUAUUAUAUAUUUCUUUCAAAACAAAAUUUAAUUAAUUGAAAAUUUGGCAUAUUUUAUUAAUAUAUAUAUUUAUUUAUUUUCUAAUGAAAUAAUAUUUUUUAAAAUAAUUUUUUUUA
This 2687-nucleotide unclassified non-coding RNA is filed under the name Hevea brasiliensis (rubber tree). Lineage: Eukaryota; Viridiplantae; Streptophyta; Magnoliopsida; Malpighiales; Euphorbiaceae. The record is from RNAcentral.